RNAcentral lists this small RNA (97 nucleotides) under Marmota monax (woodchuck). Lineage: Eukaryota; Metazoa; Chordata; Mammalia; Rodentia; Sciuridae. The record is from RNAcentral.
GCCAGGUGCAGUGGCGCACACUUGCAAUCCCAGCAACCUGGGAGGCUGAGGCAGGAGGAUCGCAAGUUCAAGGCCAGCUUCAGCAACCCUGUCUCCA